Molecule: ribosomal RNA, 450 nt
Filed under: uncultured bacterium
Lineage: Bacteria
Description: partial 16S ribosomal RNA
Rfam family: Bacterial small subunit ribosomal RNA
Source: RNAcentral
GUGGGGAAUAUUGGACAAUGGGCGAAAGCCUGAUCCAGCCAUGCCGCGUGUGUGAAGAAGGUCUUCGGAUUGUAAAGCACUUUAAGUUGGGAGGAAGGGCAGUAAGUUAAUACCUUGCUGUUUUGACGUUACCGACAGAAUAAGCACCGGCUAACUUCGUGCCAGCAGCCGCGGUAAUACGAAGGGUGCAAGCGUUAAUCGGAAUUACUGGGCGUAAAGCGCGCGUAGGUGUUUUUGUAAGUUGGAGGUGAAAUCCCCGGGCUCAACAUUGGAACUGCCUCCAAAACUGCAUGACUAGAGUACGGUAGAGGGUAGUGGAAUUUCCUGUGUAGCGGUGAAAUGCGUAGAUAUAGGAAGGAACACCAGUGGCGAAGGCGACUACCUGGACUGAUACUGACACUGAGGUGCGAAAGCGUGGGGAGCAAACAGGAUUAGAAACCCCUGUAGUCC